UACGGGGGGGGCAAGCGUUGUUCGGAAUUACUGGGCGUAAAGGGCUCGUAGGUGGCCAACUAAGUCAGACGUGAAAUCCCUCAGCUUAACUGGGGAACUGCGUCUGAUACUGGAUGGCUUGGAUUCGGGAGAGGAAUGCGGAAUUCCAGGUGUAGCGGUGAAAUGCGUAGAUAUCUGGAGGAACACCGGUGGCGAAGGCGGCAUUCUGGACCGACAUUGACGCUGAGGAGCGAAAGCCAGGGGAGCAAACGGG
Molecule: ribosomal RNA, 253 nt
Filed under: uncultured bacterium
Lineage: Bacteria
Description: partial 16S ribosomal RNA
Rfam family: Bacterial small subunit ribosomal RNA
Source: RNAcentral